AGUCACGUGGCCGCCUGCCUUCUGUGACGUCGGGGCGGCUUCAAUGUUGCAGAGUUCGGCCCGUGGAAUUCUGAGAACUAAUUUGCUAUUCGGUGACAUAAGAGAGAUCCGGGGCUGAGGCCACCCGCUCUCGGUCGUGAAAGCCCCACAAGCACCGCCGGCCUCCUCGCAACACACCAGAUCCCCCCCGCCCCCCAGCAAAAGGCGUUACAAUGUAGGGACCUAGGAAAGGGUGGGGGGGGGGUUGAGCUUUCCAUAACGCAGGAGGAGAGGGGGAAAAAACCCGAAUAAAAAAUGCAGGAGGAGGAGGCAGACGGAAUCUCAGGCAGUCAGUAGGGAGGCGAGACGCAGGAUCGUUUAACGUUAUUUUUGCAUCUGCUUGAGCAAGUUUCUCCUUUAAACAGAUCCCGGGAUCCUGCUACCUUGGACUCUUUUAAAAAAAUAAUGAUCCAUCUUUUUAUGUAUAUAUAUUCUAUCCACCUCUUUUUGGCUCUCACGAUCGUUCAAGGGAUUUACUUUUGACGAAAGAAGCUUUUUUUCCCCCAUGCAGAUCUAUUUUUUAAUCAUGUUUUUGGCAUUGCUUUUUUAAUGUGCGGAAUAUCCUUGCUUUUGAAAGAAAUAUACUCAGAGGAUAAUGUUUUCGUUUGGUCCUUUUUUUUCCUUCCCUUUCCAGGACUCUUACGUGGUGGGUUUAUUCUUCGCAGUUGUUGUCAUUGUUGCUGAUUCUUGCAAAAUAGAUUGUAAACAGUAUGUCAAUAGAUAGCUGCCUCUGUGUAGAUGUCAAUGUCUAGCUACGGUAGUGUGCAAUUUUUUGGAUUAUUUUUGUUUUUUAAAGUCGCUGUAGACUGUGUCAGGAAGGAACUGUAAAGGCCUGCUUUUGCCAUUGGAGGAGACUUCAACCAGCAGUGAAAAUGUAAAGACCUUCCAAUCUGUGUUACUGAGAGUUGCUGGUGUGUGUGGGAAAAUCCACAGAACACUCUGCCUGAUCCCAGAAGACUUGCCCUGGGACUGCUGUGUUCAUUACAAAACAAUCCUGCAAUUAAAAUAAACUCCAAGAGCUAAACAAA
This is a long non-coding RNA of Gopherus flavomarginatus (Mexican gopher tortoise), 1067 nucleotides long. RefSeq lists it as uncharacterized. The record is from RefSeq and is a predicted model, not a curated record. Lineage: Eukaryota; Metazoa; Chordata; Testudines; Testudinidae. The transcript has 2 exons.